AUGAAAUCCUUGAGUGUUUCACUAGUGGUCCUGUGGCUCCAGGGUGAGAAGCCAGCAGAAGGUGCAGCAGAGCCCAGAAUCCCUCACUGUCUCAGAGGGAGCCAUGGCCUCUCUCAACUGCACUUUCAGUGAUCGUUCUUCUGACAACUUCAGGUGGUACAGACAGCAUUCUGGGAAAGGCCUUGAGGUGCUGGUGUCCAUCUUCUCUGAUGGUGAAAAGGAAGAAGGCAGUUUUACAGCUCACCUCAAUAGAGCCAGCCUGCAUGUUUUCCUACACAUCAGAGAGCCGCAACCCAGUGACUCUGCUCUCUACCUCUGUGCAGUGAGCA
Non-coding RNA from Mus musculus (house mouse), 329 nucleotides. NCBI's taxonomy places the organism in Eukaryota, Metazoa, Chordata, Mammalia, Rodentia, Muridae. The record is from the annotation of a RefSeq genome assembly.